GAGGGGGUAGACAUGCAGCAAAUGGUCGGGGCUGGGAGUCAAAGCAGCGACCACUGCGAUGAAGACUACAGCCUCUGUACACAGCCAAAAGACCACCAAAAGACUGUACUAAGGAAAUCUCCACAACCCAUGGAGCUAGCAAUGUCCUGUUGAGGACUGCUGCCCUCUUGCUGGUUGCACAUUACAGACUUCAGUCAAACAAGGUAAAAGCUGAAAUGCAGGUUAAGUGUCCCUCUGAUAUAACUACUCAGUACUAUACUGAGGUACAUCACAGCUCUAUCUCCAGGGGGCAGGUUCACAAUGAAGCAAGAGAUUGCUACUAAUUGUGUCAGGAGUUGGUAUGCUAUUCUCAUGCUCAAUUUUCUCUCUUAUUUUCUUCCGCUCAGUGAAGCCUUGGCACUGACUCCAGUCAUCAUAUUAGCUCACAGCAUGCCCACUGUGUAUAACUAGCCAUUAAGCCAGCUAUUUUCUGUGCCGUAUACUUUAAAAGGUUCUUACAAAUGAGACUCAAAAGCACAUACGAUUCCAACAGCACCCUUUCAUUUUCCAGCAGCAAACAUCUCUGACACUGAGGAAAUAACUGGUUGAUAUUCAUACUGGCACCCAUCUUUGUUAACCACGGUGCAUUAUUAAUGGGUGUUACAGUCUCUGGGUCUUGUGAUGUUUUCAGUGUGUAGGCCAAAAUAUUAGCAACUAAAAGGUUCUGCACAAUCCUUGGCCUAACACAGACACCAUGUUGUUGAUGUAAUGUUUUUUUAUUCAACUCCAAAUAAUUAUGGGCAUUGGGAAACAAAA
Long non-coding RNA from Notolabrus celidotus (New Zealand spotty), 795 nucleotides. RefSeq lists it as uncharacterized. The transcript has 2 exons. The record is from RefSeq and is a predicted model, not a curated record. Lineage: Eukaryota; Metazoa; Chordata; Actinopteri; Labriformes; Labridae.